Non-coding RNA from Oncorhynchus mykiss (rainbow trout), 3332 nucleotides. The record is from RefSeq and is a predicted model, not a curated record. NCBI's taxonomy places the organism in Eukaryota, Metazoa, Chordata, Actinopteri, Salmoniformes, Salmonidae.
GCAAUGUUUCAAUUUGUCACUUUUUGCUUAAAGGUCCAACCUGUCCAACCUUCCAGAAGUUUGAGUGGGCGAAGACUGUGGCGCCGGAGUUAAAGCACAUCAAAGUUGUUUUACCAUGGCACAUGAUCGGGAUGGACCUCAUCGGCUCCUUCACGAAAUCCAGGAAAGGCAACAGCUGGUGUCUGAAGGGGACCGAUCACUUUACCAAGUGGGUGGAGGCAAUACCCAUUAAGUUCAGUAAAGGAAGAGAACGUGCUUAACUCUAAAUACCCAUCUGCAACCCAUUAAAAAGGGUGCUUGGAACCAAAAUUAGAUUUUUGUUUUUUUAUGAUACAAAACUAGUGAGACCAUCUCCAAGGAUAUAGUGGGCAUCUUCAACACCCACUUUUCUCCUGAGGUCAUCUUGAGUGACCGAGGUCAGGUACAGAUGUUAUAGGUUAUAUUCUGUCACCAAUGGUUUGUUUUGUUUAUUUUGUUACAAUCUGUUUUUGUUUUUCCAUGGUAGAUAAUCAGACAUAUUUCAAUAUCUUACAUUGUCAAUAGAUAUCACUUUCCUACCCCCCUCCUCCAGGUUUGGUGAAUGGACCAACCAGGCACUUGUGAUUGACUUAGUGUUGUUUGCCUAUUGCUAUUUUUGCUUAACGAUCUUUCAGAUCACUGAAACGCCACCUGAUGUGGUGGAAGUUGUCGAAACCAGAUCAGGACGCCUUCGAGAAUUACCUUCAGGCACGGACUGAGAAGGAUGUGGAGGUCUUUGACCAUGUAAAAAUUAUUGUCCGUUGUUUGUUUUCUGGACCUCCAAGAGCUAUAUAAGAAAUGUAUUUGUAAUGUGAAACAUAAUUGCAUGUGUUCCUGUCAUCCAACAAGGUGAGACUGAACAUGGACAAGGCGCAGGAGAAACAGAAGGAGCGCUACCGGAGCAGAGUCAAGAAGGGGACCAAGUGCUACGACAUCCAGGGCAAAUUACUUGGUUUGGAAGAAGAACGAAAGGAAGGCAGAGACCUUGGAAAUCUCGCUGCUCCUAGCUGUGGUCACGAUCUGUUAAAGGUUACCUCGGAAGCCAACUAUCUUCUGCGGUUGGACGGUCUACCACUGGAAGCAUUGACGCCCUACACUUCAGUGAAGCCCAAUUUACAAAGACCAUCGACUGUCCGAGCCCCCCAGGAGGUAUCCCGUCUACCAGAACCAGUGAGUUCGGAUUAGUCUGAUUCUCUGUGCUCUGAAUCGGAGGAGGACUAGCUUGAGGUAGGCUACAUGUUUGAAAAGUACAUAUCUCUGUGUUAAUCCGUCAAAUUUUCUCACAGUAAAGUGUAACCUGUGUGUUUGCUUGUUUACGUCGGUCUCCUACCAUGUCCCCUUCAACUCUGCUCCUGUUCUCCAAGAGCUAGGGGUUUUGGCCAACACCCAGAUCCACCUGAUGUCCUCCAUUGCCAACCAUUCUUUUCAUUACCUCAUCUACAGCUACUGUUGUCAUUACGCCAUCUACAGCUACGGUUAUCAUUAUCUGCUAAGAAAGCUGUCUUGCGCUAUCCUACUGGGCACAUAAUAUGUGAGAGACACAGAUUGACUAAAAACAUUAGCACUGCAAAACCUCUGAACAAAGCGAACAGCAGUGCCUGGACUUUGCAGUCUCCUUCUUCAAGUCCCCCCUUCGGAGACUGGGUGCCUGUUGAGAACAAGUGACAGGCAGAAUCUCCCACCCACACAGCAACCACCUCCUAUAUUCCACACACCAGAAUGUAUUUAGCCAUUGCCAUGUGAAAAUAAAUGCAUGACACAACUGUACCAAAAAAUAUCAACGUUUCUGUGUUACAAUCUUAAGUAUUGACGGGUUGCUUUUCACAACAUGUUCAUUGCUGUAAGGUAUCCUCUGAUGGUAUUUAUUUGUUCCUCAUUAUUCAUUGAAUGUAGUAAAUCCUGCCGUAGGGAUAGCGUGCAACUCACAGGUGAGGGCAACGACCUCUUCCUUGAGUCUGAGAGCUGAUCCCUCUUUUGUUCUAGCAAGACCUGUGCUCUUGGGGUAAUUCUCAAAAUGCAUUUUAAAUGUUUUUUUAAAGGAAGUGUCAGGGAACAUUAUUUUUUACACGUAUCUAACCUUUGUGUAGUGACAGUCUCCAUAUAUACUGUACUUCCAUAAAUGUUUUAUACUGGUAUCAGGGGACUUUAUGUAUUAACCUAUCAAAUAUUGUAGUUGGGCAACAUAUGAGAUGUGAAUAUAAAACAUUUCAUUCUGAAGUCGGAGUGUACUUUCUCUUGAUUCAGCUCAAAUAACGGCCGCCAUUGAUUUAAAGAAAUGUUAUGACAUUUUUUUACGUGGUUGCGUCAUAUUUCUUUGUAUACUUUCCAUUGAAGCUUGCAUCAAUGCAUGCUUCAAAAUAUGUACAAACGGAGUUUGCAUUUUGAGAAGUGCCCUCCAUGCUCCAUUUUGCAUGCUUUCAUUUGGAAUCGUACUCCGAUCCUCCCGUGCUCCAAUUUUAGUUGUAUGCAUUUUGAGAAUUACCCAUCGACUUUGACAGACCAUUUAAAUUUCUUGAAUCCUUCCUUCCAAAAUGAUUUUGUUCAUUUACUCAAUAGUGAUUUCACGUUUAUUUAUAUUGCUUGGUUAAAAUACAAUACUCUAAAACAGUCGAUUUGUUGACUCAUUUAAUCACAUUAAAACACAUUUCCUUUUCUUUUGACUGUGUGCUACUACAGGCGGCAACCUGAUCUCAUAGCAUUUCGUAUUAUUCUGUAUGGAUAUUUUUAUGUGUAAAUAUUAAUUUGUGGAUGUCCAUCCAUUUCAGGUAAUAUGUUAUGAGUUACAAUUCAUAUGGUAUGUUACGAAUUGCAGUUCUAUGAUAUGUUAUGAAUUUCAAUUGUAAACUAUGUUAUGAACGCAAUACGUAGGAUAUGUUGCCAAUUCCAAUUUGUUGUAACUAAUGCUAAUGUUAGCUAGGCUAGGGGUUACGGUUAGGAGUGAGGUGAAAGGGUUAAGGUUAGGAGUUAUGUUCAAGGUUAGCGUUAGGGGAAGGGUUAGCUAACAUGCUAAGUAGUUGCAAAGUAGCUAAAAAGUAGUAAGUAGAUGCAAAGCUGGUAAUUGGACAAAAUGCUAGUUGUCCAUGAGAUUUGAACACUCAAUUUUUGGGUUGCUAGACAUUUGCUUAUACGACUAACCAACCUCAUUUUUGCAUGAAAGGAGAAUUUUCCUGAAUUUCUGAAGUCAAUCAGCAGAGGGAGGGCGGGUGUUCCCCCCAGCAGAGGGAACACCCCCCUAUCCACAUCGAUGGAACAGUAGUGGAGAGGGUAGUAAGUUUUAAGUUCCUCGGCGUACACAUCACAGACAAACUGUAUUG